GAGCUCGCUGUCGAAGCGGCAGUAGUUGCUGACGUCCUUGUCUCCUUUCAUCUGGUGGUACACAUCCGGGAAGAACUUUCUCAGGAACGACUCCAUCGACGUAACCCCACCUGUGCCAAAUGGGGAGAUAUAUGAAAACUAAAAAUUGAGCUAGCUAGCUACCACUACGUACUGCAUCAUCGAGCUAGUAGUGGCUGUGUGCAGAAGGUGCAGCGGAUGCAGCAACAGUCCCGGCACUUUUGAUAUGGUGAUGAACAAUACAUAAGCUGCUGAUCGAGCCGGAUCAAGCAGAUGGAGAGAUAAAUGAAAUGAAAAGUCAUGGCUAAUUUGUCAAGUCAAACAGAGGCAUGCAUGCAAAGUGCAUGAAUCAACUACUGCAUGCUGCUACUAAUAUAUGUAUAGUACUAUAUAUGCAAGCAAGAUUUUCAUCAAUCAUACAUGCAUAUGUACUAACUGAAUGGUACUGCUAGCAGCUGUAAGCUAGUAGCUGCUGCAGAGUACAUACAUACUCCGUACUCGAGAGUAGCACAAAAUAAAUAAUGGUUGGUGUCGGUUAGAUUUCCCCUGCUUGUGAUUUCUCUUCCAAGCAGUCCUACAUGGAAAUGGAAUUGAUUUGAUUGUAUA
Long non-coding RNA from Sorghum bicolor (sorghum), 624 nucleotides. RefSeq lists it as uncharacterized. The transcript has 2 exons. The record is from RefSeq and is a predicted model, not a curated record. Lineage: Eukaryota; Viridiplantae; Streptophyta; Magnoliopsida; Poales; Poaceae.